AUGGGACACGUUUUCUGCAAUAGGAAUGGAAUAUGUGUUUCCGUCAAUUAUUGCGACGUAAUCACUGUCGUCUUACAAGUCGCCAGAAAUUGUGGACCUGUGAAUCCUGAAGGGGCAGACGGAGCAACUCGACAAGUUUGUGGUGUGCAGAUUUGAUGUGCCAAGUGGCCGUAGUGGAGCUGCAGUCAAUUGUUUUAGCAAAAUGGAGGAUAUGAAGAAGCGUGCACAAGUGGUCUGGUGGUAUGCAGAGACAAAAUCAGCGAUCCAAGUUGCAAAGAAACUUUCGUCGAGUUUACAACAAAGCGCCUCCGUCGUUCAAGACUAUAAAGAAGUGGUGUGAUCAGUUUUUGGCUACUGGGAGUGUUGCGAAAGCGCAUGGUGGUGGUAAGCCUGGGAUCAGCGAUCAUCAUGUGGUACAAGUGCAGCGGUCAUUCUGAAAGUUAAUGUGUGGUGUGGUUUGGUGAUAAAUCACAUUGGUGGACCGGUUUUCUUUCAGGAGCCGACUGUGGAUGGAGCCAUCUACCUGGACAUGUUGGAACAAUUUGCCGUGCCACAGAUAACAGACCUGCAGCCAAAUAUGAUGUUUCAACAGGACGGUGCACCACCCCAUUGGAGCCUUGAUGUCCGAAAAUUUUUAAACGACACACUCCCGCAACAAUGGACUGGCCGUUGAAGUCCAAUUCUUUGGUCGCCACUGUGGUGUCACCGCCAGACACCACACUUGCUAGGUGGUAGCCUUUAAAUCGGCCGUGGUCCGGUAGUAUACGUCGGACCCGCGUGUCGCCACUAUCAGUGAUUGCCGCCACACGGCAGGUCUAGAGAGACUUCCUAGCACUCGCUCCAGUUGUACAGCCGACUUUGCUAGCAAUGGUUCACUGACAAAUUACGCUCUCAUUUGCCGAGACAAUAGCAUAGCCUUCAGCUACAUUAUUUGCUACGACCUAGCAAGGUGCCAGUAUCCGUACUAUUGAUAUUGUGAAUCAUGUACCAUAAAGAGCAACGUUCGUCAUUAAUGGAUUAAAGUUAAGUAUUCCACCAGCUACAUCCGUUUUUCUCAAAUAUAAUUCCCUUGUCAUGUUCCAGACCUCACGCCAGCCUGCGUGAGCUGAGAAGCGUUCAGCCUCCUUUAACCAUACGGUUGGCUCUCCUGCCAACCACAACAGCCAUGUUCGCCCGACAUAACCCCCCUCGAUUUUUUAUUGUGGUGUUAUGUGGAAGAUGGGGUACACGCUACACCAAUAAAGGACCUGCAAGACUUGAAACAGUGCAUAAGAAUUGUCAUCAACUCUGUCACAGAACAUAUGCUCCAUAACACAUGGUACGAAAUCGAUUACAGACUUGAUAUUCUUCGCGCUACCCAUGUUCAAGUGUACUGAACCGUCCACCUGUGUGUGAAAACUUGAUGAGCUGCUGUAUGAUUUCCCUGUAUUUGUUCAUCAAUAAAUUGUGUUUUUACUCUGA
Long non-coding RNA from Schistocerca gregaria, 1461 nucleotides. RefSeq lists it as uncharacterized. The record is from RefSeq and is a predicted model, not a curated record. Lineage: Eukaryota; Metazoa; Arthropoda; Insecta; Orthoptera; Acrididae. The transcript has 2 exons.